This 206-nucleotide unclassified non-coding RNA is filed under the name soil metagenome. RNAcentral describes it as "partial contains 5.8S ribosomal RNA, internal transcribed spacer 2, and large subunit ribosomal RNA". The record is from RNAcentral.
AAGACUAUAGACCUGCGGAGUACCUGCGGAGGGAUCAUUAACGUUGGGGACUAACAAUCCCUCAGCGAGAUAGAACCCUUGCCUUUUCGAGUACCACACGUUUCCUCGGCAGGUACGCCUGCCAAUGGGGACCACAACAAAACCUUUUGUAAUAGCAGUAAACGUCUUAAAAACAAAACUUCUAAAACUUUCAACAACGGAUCUCU